GAAGCCAACAUUUUUACUGUAGCAAAAUGGUCAACGCCGAUUUCCGGUCACCUUCGGCCACAAACCCAGGUCCAUUAGAAGCGCCUUGAGCCACUCUUCAUGCUCUCCAAACCUCUUGCACCGAUUCGAAGCGUGGAGGAAGAAAGCAUAAUUAGAAGAUUUUACUGUUCACUCGGGUUCAACCUUCUCCUUAAUUGUUGAGGGCGACGUACCGAGCUAUUGCUCGAUGAAGGAACUCGUAUGCGUGAUCGUCUAAAUAGUACUUUUUGA
Molecule: long non-coding RNA, 270 nt
Filed under: Rosa chinensis
Lineage: Eukaryota; Viridiplantae; Streptophyta; Magnoliopsida; Rosales; Rosaceae
Description: sRNA RchiOBHm_Chr5g0049411
Source: RNAcentral